This 393-nucleotide ribosomal RNA is filed under the name uncultured bacterium. Its description in RNAcentral is "partial 16S ribosomal RNA". It matches the Rfam family "Bacterial small subunit ribosomal RNA", at positions 523 to 918 of the family's 1533-position model. The record is from RNAcentral.
AUACGGAGGAUGCAAGCGUUAUCCGGAUUUAUUGGGUUUAAAGGGUGCGUAGGCUGUUCGGAAAGUCAGGGGUGAAAGCCCGGCGCCUAACGCCGGAACUGCCUUUGAUACUUCCGAGCUGGAAUACGGAUGCCGUGGGAGGAAUGAGUAGUGUAGCGGUGAAAUGCAUAGAUAUUACUCAGAACACCGAUUGCGAAGGCAUCUCACGAAUCCGUCAUUGACGCUGAGGCACGAAAGCGUGAGGAUCAAACAGGAUUAGAUACCCUGGUAGUCCACGCAGUAAACGAUGAUGACUAACCGUCGGCGAUACACAGUCGGUGGCCAAGCGAAAGCGAUAAGUCAUCCACCUGGGGAGUACGUUCGCAAGAAUGAAACUCAAAUGAAUUGACGGGG